Molecule: ribosomal RNA, 502 nt
Filed under: uncultured bacterium
Lineage: Bacteria
Description: bacterial SSU rRNA
Rfam family: Bacterial small subunit ribosomal RNA
Source: RNAcentral
GAUCAUGGCUCAGGAUGAACGCUAGCUACAGGCUUAACACAUGCAAGUCGAGGGGCAGCAUGAAUUUACUUCGGUAGAUUUGAUGGCGACCGGCGCACGGGUGCGUAACGCGUAUCCAACCUUCCCGUUACUCCGGGAUAGCCUUCCGAAAGGGAGAUUAAUACCGGAUGGUGUUUGAAGUCCGCAUGAAAUUCAAACUAAAGAUUUAUCGGUGACGGAUGAGGAUGCGUACGAUUAGCUAGUUGGCGGGGUAACGGCCCACCAAGGCGACGAUCGUUAGGGGUUCUGAGAGGAAGGUCCCCCACACUGGAACUGAGACACGGUCCAGACUCCUACGGGAGGCAGCAGUGAGGAAUAUUGGUCAAUGAUCGGAAGACUGAACCAGCCAAGUAGCGUGAAGGAUGAAGGUUCUAUGGAUUGUAAACUUCUUUAUACGGGAAUAAAACCUCCCACGUGUGGGAGCUUGUAUGUACCGUAUGAAUAAGCAUCGGCUAACUCCGUG